UCAGGACGAACGCUGGCGGCGCGCCUAACACAUGCAAGUCGAACGGACUUUACGGAAACAGAAGCUUCGGCAGAAGAAGGAAAUAAAGUUAGUGGCGAACGGGUGAGUAACACGUGAGGAACCAACCCUUAAGAGGGGGAUAACACUUAGAAAUAGGUGCUAAUACCGCAUAAGACCACACUCCGGCAUCGGAGAGGGGUCAAAGGAGCAAUCCGCUUAAGGACGGCCUCGCGUCCGAUUAGGUAGUUGGCGGGGCAACGGCCCACCAAGCCGACGAUCGGUAGCCGGACUGAGAGGUUGAACGGCCACAUUGGGACUGAGACACGGCCCAGACUCCUACGGGAGGCAGCAGUGGGGAAUAUUGGGCAAUUGGGGGGAAACCCUGACCCAGCGACGCCGCGUGAGGGAAGAAGGUCUUCGGAUUGUAAACCUCUGUCUUCGGGGACGAUAGUGACUGUACCCGAGGAGGAAGCCACGGCUAACUACGUGCCAGCCGCGGC
Molecule: ribosomal RNA, 500 nt
Filed under: uncultured bacterium
Lineage: Bacteria
Description: bacterial SSU rRNA
Rfam family: Bacterial small subunit ribosomal RNA
Source: RNAcentral